Molecule: long non-coding RNA, 162 nt
Organism: Zea mays
Lineage: Eukaryota; Viridiplantae; Streptophyta; Magnoliopsida; Poales; Poaceae
Exons: 2
Source: RefSeq, a predicted model, not a curated record
CUUCAGCGACGAAGCAUGGUCCCAACAAUUCCGCAUGUGAAUCGUACUGAGUAUCAGCUGAUUGAUAUUUCUGAGGAUGGAUUUGUGAGCCUUCUUACUUCAGAUGGCAACACUAAGGAUGAUCUUAGACUCCCAACUGAUGAGACUCUUGUGGCCCAGGUC